Molecule: ribosomal RNA, 373 nt
Filed under: Rhodnius ecuadoriensis
Lineage: Eukaryota; Metazoa; Arthropoda; Insecta; Hemiptera; Reduviidae
Description: LSU rRNA
Source: RNAcentral
UCUUUUGAAAGUCUAUAUAAGGUCUAUCCUGCCCAAUGAGGAGUUGAAUGGCUGCGGUAUUUUAACCGUGCUAAGGUAGCAUAAUUAUUUGUCUUUUAAUUGAGGGCUUGUAUGAAAGGUUGGAUGAAGUAAUAACUUUCUUUAAUUUAAUUUAUGAACUUAAUUUUUUAGUUAAAAAGCUAAAAUAUAUUUAUUGGACGAGAAGACCCUAUAGAUCUUUAUAAUUUAAUAGGUUUUAUAAUUUAGAGUAUUGCUUAUUUUAAUUUAAUGGAAUUAUUUGAUUGGGGUGAUUGUAGAAUUUUAUUAACUUCUAUUAUUUGUUUUUCAAGAAUUAUUGUUUUAUUGAUCCAUAACUUAUGAUUAAAAGAUUAAG